AAAAACUCGCCUCGUCCCCGAACGCACGCACGGCCGCACCUCUCUUAUCCUUUUCUUCGUUCCCCACUCUCUCGCCAUUUCUUCAUCGCACAUGGGACAGAGGAGCGAGAGAGAGCCCUUGCGCAGGCGGCGAGGCGGCCGGCGGCGAGCCAAUCGGCAGUUAUGCAGCCUGCGCCGUACCCGAAGCUGUGCGAUGUCAGGAGAGGAGGCGUGUGGCGGCGAGGCGAGGAGCGGGAAGAGGCGGGUGAAGCUGCUGUGAUUCGAAUCCUCGAUGGUGGUCGGCGGAGGCAGCAGUCGGCCAAGAUGCCGGCGCGCGGCGCCGUGUUGACGGUGGAGGAGGGAGCCUCGCGCGCGUGGUGAUUGCCGGUCACAGAGGCCGAGGUGCUAGGGGUGGAGAUUGAUGGGCUCGUCGUCCCCGCCGGCCGCCGCCGGCCCCGUCCUCACGCUCCAGCUGGAUCGACCGAUGGAGCUCUUCUGCGCCACCACCAGCCCCGCGGGCGCGCAACCCCGCCACAUCGGUGCGGCCGGACCGACGCUGCCUAUGCGACUACGUCGAGGACGGACUCGUGUGUCAAGGAUGACGAGGAGGAGAACCACGCCGCGGCCCCGUGUUUGGUGCCUACCAAGGGAUCUCCGCCCGCCCCACGUCCUAGCGCGCCUUCGCCCCGCGUGGUCCUGGGCUCCACCAUCGCCUUGUGCAGAUGGGGAUCUGCCACGCGACGGUGCCGUCGGGGCAGGGGUAGCUUGAUUACAAGCUCGACGGUGACGCACAUAUUUGGUCCUCGAGCUGACUACGGCAACAACGUAGUGAGUUUCAAUAGCUCCCACAAUUUCUUUGUUUGCAAAUUUUUGUAGAUGUCGCCAUUUAGCAUUGUGUAGUUAUUUGUGCAGUCACUUUUUUGCAGGUGAUGAGAUGCUAAUGGACUAGAUUUCCUUGGCAAUUCUAGGAAACUAUAGUUCAUGGACACCCCCAAAAUGCAGUGGUUGGAGCCUUCCACCUUCUUUCACCAGUGAGAACACGAUUGCUCCUUGCCUUCGUCGGUCGUUCGGUGGAGUGAGGGGAGGAUCCUAGUUCUCGGCCAUCUAUGUGGUUUAAGUCAUUCAUAUCUCUAGCGUUGCUUCCACAUUGGAGGGGUGGCCUAUGCGGUGUUCAAAGCUUCAUCUGUUGGAAACUUGGUUGUCUUAGUGUGGAGUGCGGGUAUGUUGUAUGUAUCCUUCUGCAGAUUUGCCUUGGAGGCCCGCGAGAAGUUCCGGCAGGCAGCGAGGAAUGGUAGCAGAAUGUGAGUCACGCAUGACCUUUGUUAUUUCCACAUUUUACGAUGGCCCUUCUGCGAUGAGUGGGCUUCGUUUGAAUCAUUUUCACUUGGUAGGUUUCAGUCACAUCGAAACCUAGUUUUGGGGGGUCUGUAUCUCAAAAGGUAUAGCCUAAUGUUGAGAAGAAGCAGCGGGCCUCCUACCUUCGCAUCUCUUCUUAGCGUAGUUAAGCAUGCUAACUUUAGCUCAAAAAAGAAAACAUGUUCAUUUCAGAAAUAGUGAUGAUAACAUGUUGUCUUGGCUAGAUAACUUGCUCGAUUUAGACGCGUGGCAAUUAUAUUGCACGCGGAUUCUUUUUGGAAAGCACAAACUCAAUGCUCAACAAUACUCCCUCCGUUCCUUUACAAGGUGUAUUUGUUUUUUCAAAAGUCAAACAAGGGCGUGUUUGAUCAAGUUUUUGGAAAAACAUAUCGACAUCUACAAUACAAAAUUUAUAUCAUUUGAUCCAUCAUGAAAAGUAGUUUCAUAUUUUAUUUAUUAUGUAUUGCAGAUGUUGUUAUUUUAUUAUAUAAUCUUGGUCAAACAUUUAAAAUGGUUGAUUUGCAUGGAAACUAAUAUACCUUAUAUUCUGGAAUGGAGGGGAAUCGGACAAUCACAUAAGCAUAUGCUCAUCUUUUUUUUUUUGGUCGGGAAGCACAUGAGCACUCGGCAAUUACUAGCAGGGGGCAUCGGUGGCAAGCUAGGUGUUUUUUUAAGUACAGUUCUUUCUUUCUUUUUGCUUUUGCCAAGUUUGAGUUGUUUACCACGCGCGUGUGUUAAAAAAAGAGGGUUGUUUACCACGUGUGCCACGUGGUAAGCACAGCUUUAUUCCAUGAUUAAAAUCCAAGUACACGCAUGUUCACAUACAUAUGGUUGUCCCUUACACAAAGAGUGAAGUUCAAUGGAGCUUGCUGGCGCCGCGUGCUGCCUUGGAAGAAGCUGGAUUGAAAGGAGGAAGCGACGUUGGUCCGGUCACGGUGGCGACCCCUUCCGAUUGGGCGAAGCCGCCAUGGCCAGCAUCCUCCACUGCAUGCACGAUUAACCAAAUAAGCAGAUUAACCGAUCGAUUUACGAUUAACCAGAUAAGCGCGAGACUGUAAUUAAUGAGUUUAUUGAUUGUAUGCAUACGGCACACAGGAUGGUAGCACGUACAUGUGGAGGAGAGGCCGAUCAUGUCAUGGUCUUUCAGAGUGUUGUGGACUGGAGCACCUUUGCCGGCAGCGGAAGAGAUCAUCAGCAGCGAGAGCAGCGCGGCCAAGAGCAAGGCCGCCUUGUUGUUCUUCAUCGCCGCGUCUGCGAGCGUGGCGCGUGAUCAGUGCGUGCGUGUUUAUGUGUGGAUCACCAGAUGGGUGGGAACAGAAGGGAGCUGCAUCGUCUUCUGCCCGGCCGGUCUAUAUAUACGCCAGCUCUGUCCAUGUAUGUAUGGAGCGGUUUGGGGCUCCUUAAAGCGGCCUUGUUAGUAGCACGUGGUGUGGCAUGUGAGGAGCGACCGAGCGAGAAUCAAAAUCUCCACCUAGUUAGGGCCGGCCAAUUAAUCCAUCCCCUGAUUAUUAUUAUAGGUGUGCUGGAGCAAGAAAAAAAAUACUAAUGGACUUGUUGCUAAAGCCACUGGAGUAGAACGGUGAUGGAUCCCUAUUUUUGCGUGUGGAGGAGUAUGUUCCAUUAACUAAAUCUCGAUCAACACGAUCCAAUUCACAAAGGUUUACAACCUGUUGAGGGCCGGACCCUAUCCAGACUGCGGCCUUUAACAUUAUCUCGACCGAUCCUAGCAAGUACACACCGUCACCAUAGCAUGUGAACGGUCACGGCUCCCUCAUCUCAUGCAUCAACCCACGCCGUCACUGUAGCAUUUGAACGGUGUCCCUUCUACCAUCUGCCAUCCUAUCUACCAUCACCAUCCAUAACUCUUUACUUUGUUCUCUAAAAAAACAUCUUUAGUUUGUGGACAAUGCGCUAAUUAUUGUCGAAACAUCUUCCGGCGUCGCGGCCAUGCAUUUAAAAAACAUUUUACUCUCUUCGGAUGGGAAUGUAAGUAGGGCAUGGGUUUCUAGGUCCUGGAUUUGAGUAGCAAAACAUGUAUUGUGUAUGUUAUAAAAAUUAUAUAUCUAGACUCAUUAUCGAAUGAUAUUUCUACACAUAUUCUUUGUGGCAUACAAGUUUCAUCAAUUAAAUUAAUGACCUAAAUUCUUGUGCCCGAUUUAUUUCCAUCUAAAGGGUGCAAA
This is a long non-coding RNA of Triticum aestivum (bread wheat), 3515 nucleotides long. RefSeq lists it as uncharacterized. NCBI's taxonomy places the organism in Eukaryota, Viridiplantae, Streptophyta, Magnoliopsida, Poales, Poaceae. The record is from RefSeq and is a predicted model, not a curated record. The transcript is spliced from 3 exons.